Molecule: long non-coding RNA, 1360 nt
Organism: Thunnus maccoyii (southern bluefin tuna)
Lineage: Eukaryota; Metazoa; Chordata; Actinopteri; Scombriformes; Scombridae
Exons: 4
Source: RefSeq, a predicted model, not a curated record
ACUGCUAGAUAUAGACCGAGAAUAAAAACACACAUCCACCUACAGAACUCACACACAUGAAACACAACACAGCACAGUACACACACAUACCACGCACACACACACACACACACACAUAUACACAUUAAAAACUACACACUGGAGCGACAUGAGUUCCAGCUGAAACCCAGCAAACACACAUCCAUGUGCACACACCCAUUUGCUCACACACCAUGCAACAUGCUCUCCUGCUGGCAUCCUGAAUAUUCAGACAAGGUAUCAGACACACACACACACACACACACACACACACACACAGUGGACAAAAGCACACACACACACACACACACGCCUGCACAUGCACACUCAUCUCACAGUCUCUCGACGCCGCUCGCAGCUUGUCACCACAGAGUCGGCGUCCCGCGAUACGGACAGGUCCAGAUGGCGCUGUCACGGCUGUCACCGAACCGCAUCUCCCAGAAUACACCUGUGACAGCUGGAACAUGUGCGCCCAGUCAGAGCGGCGCCGCUACAGAGACUAAUUAUCACCAGCAGUCCAGCCACCACGUACACGGGGCCCGCGCCUCGCCGUCACCUUACAAGGUUGCCGAGACCGGGCGACAAAUCAACGGUGUCGUUAGCGUAUGCCAGCUCGGAGAGAGAGAAAGAGAGAGAGAGAGAGAGAGAGAGAGAAGGCCCGUAACCAUGGAGACACGCCGGCGUGCUGAGGCUAAUGUACAAAUAGAUAAAAAGAUAUUUUACACUUGAGUGUGAAGACUUUUUCUUCUCCAACGCUACAUCUCGCAGCACGCUGUUUGCUCAUUCGGUGGCUGCGGUUUGGGGAUGGUGGCGGUGGCGGCGGCGGCGGCGGCGGCGAGGGGCUGAUCCAUCACGACACUGCGCCACAUAUGCAUUUAGCUCCAGAUUUUGUGUGUCUCUCUGGGGUCACAUUUAAAGUCGCUGAAAAUGGGGGAAACGUCGAGGAACUCCGGCUGGCUGAGUAGCGUCUGCUCCCAUCAGUCAGCUGCACACACAGUCGCAAGUUAAACACUCAAAACUUCACUUCUCCUUUCAUUUUCAUUCUUUGUUUUGCAUCAAACAUUCAAAGUGUACUCUGUUUAUUGUUUUUUAGUCAUAAAACUAAUUUUCACUCCAUGUUUACUUUAUCUUUUGCACUGUAACGUCUCAUAAAUUAUAUUAAAGCCACUGGAAACCCAAAUCAACAACAGCAUUUUAACUAUGUAAUUUAGGGUCUUAUAUGCAUAAUAGUAAACAUCUAAAAAGUAUUACAAAUUAGUUUCAAUCCAAAAUUGAAAUAUUGUCAUUUAAGUUUUUGUAAACUUUCCUGGUAUUGACAUUUAUAACAAAAAUUAUGCAAUAA